AGCAAAGUUCUGUGAAAACCCCUGCAUGAACUGGGCCCCUGACUCCAGGAAAACAGAGGCAUCUUCCAAUGUCCUUGGAGCCAUGAGACCCCGAAACACCUACCGGGAACAGAGGGGCUUCACCCAGACAGGCCCCACCAGGGAGGAGGAGGCCGCUCUCCCUCCCACCACCGUUGUCGGGGGUGACCCGAGGUGUUCCAGAUGAGGAGCUGAAUCACUGGGACUUAAGUCAAUAAGUGGCAGCCACCAGGCAGGCUCCAUCGUCCACCUCAGACCAUCUCGGGUUUGCUGGUCUUCUGGACUAGCGCAGCCAGAAAGAACCCAGGAAGGAAGCCUCACGUCUGACACAAGAACCUUCGGUGCUAACCCGAGGGCGGUAUGUGCAUCCUCAGCACCUGCCCAUCCGGCACCAUCCUCUGAUCCAGGGACUGUGAGCAACAGGGCCCCGUGGCCAGGACAUCUCUCACCCUCCAGUUAAAAUCUCGCCAGUUGAGUCUGCCCAUGAAAGUAGGCGCUGAACUGCCCAAUAAAUCCACAAGUAAGAGUUGCAAGAAGGAGCCAAAAAGGGCUGAGCUGAAUGACUCAUAUAUGAAAUAAUUUGAUAAUUAAUAUAAAUAGGAAAUUUAAAGUCUCCAGCUGAGUGACAGAAAACACCUUAAAAAGCUCAAGAGAGAGGAAAGGAAGAAAAUAAACCUAUAAUUGCAAAAUAAAAGCAUUGAAAGAAGCCGUGCUCAAGGUAAGAUGCUACAGAUGCAAUAAAUUCAUGUUUUAACAUUAGCAACGUGUGGGCAACGGUGUUCCCUGGGGAACUGGCUGCAUGAAGCCUCUCUGGAGAGCUGGGCCAGGCCAGUGGGAGGGCAGCUGGCACGGCCGGGGCUGGUGCGGGGUCCUGAGGCCAGAACCUGCCGGAGGGCCGUCCCCAAGGACCAACAGGCACGGGAGAGGCAGAAUAUAAACGCAGUCAGGGAGUAAAGGCUGUGCAUUCUCCCCGGGUAUUGCCUCCACCACCCCCGGGCCACACUUGGGCCUGCCCAGUUCCCCUAGCUCUUCUCUUUCCUGCCUUGCCUGCCUAAGGCCCCUCUCCCCCUGCACUCCACUCGUAUCUGCUUCUCCGCCUCCUGCCCAGUCAGCCUGCUGUGCAGAGCUCCCGCAGCUGCCUCAGAUCCACCCUUCCUGGGUGGCUGCUCCUCCCCGCCACCGCCCUAGGAGCACCCCAAGUAAAAUCUGGUUUUUCUCCCCUCCAGGUCUGCCUCUGCCUUUGCUCCUGCUAUCCCCAGGGCCCCAGGUGCCCCUCCCUCCACCUCAUCCUUCUGGACCCAGCAAAUGUCCUCCACCAGGAGGCCUUUCUGGACCUCCUCAUCCUCCUGGAAGGAGCCUCUCCCACCCCGAAGUCCUUUAACUAUUUACUUGUCCCUCUCCUUCGUACUGAGCUUAUGCUGUAUUUGUUUAUGUGCUUAUCUUCUACUGGGCUCAUCUCUGUAACCUUUUUAUUCUUUUAUUCAUUCAUUCCACAAAUACUAAUUGAGCACCUACUAUGUGCCAGACCCCAUGCUAGGACUGGGGACACAAUGAUGAGCAAGACAGACACUGUCCCUGCCACCCUGGAACUCCCAUCUUGGAGAGAAACAACAAAAACAAAACACGAAGCAAAUAAACAUUAGUAAACACGUCAGGAUAAGCGGCGAUAUAGGCUGGGAUAGAAAGGUGUAGGUGAUGUGAGAGGCGAGUGUCCGUGCGGACAGAGGAGCUGGGGGAGGAGACUCUGAGGCCAGAGGUGUGAGCGGAGUGAGUCGGGCACGCUUUCCAGACACAAAAUCGGUGUUUGCUAAACAUGCGUGGAACAAAUGAGUGGCUAACAAGCCAGAAAUCCCAAGCGCGUGCCCCGUGUCGCUCCAGACACAACUUCCCCACCCUCAUCACCCUGUGGGUCACUCCGACUGGCACCCAGACGCGUUUCCCAGCCCACACGCCUGCUACAGGGCCCACCUGUGUCACCCUCGCAGAGGCGCUUACCAGGACUCAAGGGGCUCUCCGCUCAGAACCCCUCAUGGCCUCCCUGACACCACCAGCGGCCCUCGGGCUGGACAGCAAGCGGGUUUUGUCUCGCCUGCAGACUCCAGCCCCGGAGCACCACGCAUGGAAGCGCAGCGAGGCCGCCCCUGGGCUCGGUGGGAAAGAGCCCUGAUCGACUGGUGGCGUCUGCCAGGGGACGGCAGAAGACAGAGAGGCACAUUUGCCACGUAUUUUCCUUGUCACCCAGGGCUCCGCAAAUGACCACUCAGGCAAGAAAUCUCCUUCAGGUCUAAUUGCCUGGACGAGCAUUCAGUAUCUGGUGCCCUUUCCUUAUGGGCCACGUGAACCACGUCACUGAUUUUUUUUUCCUGCUUUGACUGCUCAUUAGCUCAGAGCUAAAUGUGUGGUUCAAACACAGCAAAGUAUAUACAGCUCGAUGGCCUGAAUAGGGGGUCUAACUCUCCCCCUGCUUUCAACCUUCUAGCUAAUCUACAUCUAUGUCUUUCCUGAUCUUAUUUUUUUGAUCUCUAUUUAGUUACAUGUCCAUAUACAUACACACAUAUAUGUAUAGACAUAUAUAAACAGACAUACAUACAUAUAUAAAUAUAAAAUAUCUACAUAUAGGUCUGGUAUGUAAUACCUACUUUACUUUUUUUCUAUGAAUGUAUCUUUUAGAUAUAUAGAUAUAUUAUGAAUAUAUCUUACUUUAAAAAAUAGAGACAGGGUCU
This 2741-nucleotide long non-coding RNA is filed under the name Homo sapiens (human). RNAcentral's name for it is "HSALNT0387948". Lineage: Eukaryota; Metazoa; Chordata; Mammalia; Primates; Hominidae. The record is from RNAcentral.